AAUCUUCACUUGGCAACCAUCGUAGUAGUAAUUGAUUUGGGUUGAAACUGGGUGAAGCAACUUUGAUAUGGAACAGGAUAUUUUUAUACUCUCAGAACAUCUCCCUAUGAAAUAUUUAUUCAUUACUCAUCACUUAACACGUACUAAAUACUGUUAACUUUCCAGUGGAGAAACCUGGCAGACAUCAUCUUAGCCAAGUGGUAAACAUUAACAUCAGCAGUAAUGGGACAAGUUGACAUUGUGUGACUCCUAAUAUGGUACACUGAGAAGAAUGUCGCAUCGUUUCUGUGGUAUUCCUGCCAGAGAUGCAUAAAUCAUGAGGACACAGCAGACAAAUCCAAACUGAAGACAACCUACAAAGUCAUUGACCUGUAUUUUUCAAAAAUCUUGGCCAGAGAAGGGAAGCCUGAAGAAUUGUUCUAGAAUAAAUUAGACUGAAGAGACUCCUUGAAGGCGACUGAAUUGGAUGCUGGGCCUGUAAAGAUGGAAUCUCACUCUGUUGCCCAGGCUGGAGUGCAAUGGCGUGAUCUUGGCUCACCGCAACCUUCGCCUCCCAGGUUCAAGUGAUCUUCCUGCCUCAGCCUCCCAAGUAGCUGGGAUUACAGAUGUGCACUACCAUGCCCGGCUAAUUUUUGUAUUUUUAGUAGAGACAGGGUUUUGCCAUGUUGGCCAGGCUGGUCUCAAACUCCUGACCUCAAGUGAUCUGCCCGCCUCAGCCUCCCCAAAGUGCUGGGAUUACAGGCGUGAGCCACCGCGCCCAGCCUAUAAUUUUGUAUCUUAUUGCCACAAAAGUCUGUUCUGUCAGUCUUAUGCUCUCUAUUUUAACAUCAAUGCUGGUCAGCUGUUGUGUCUAAACUACAAAGGGGACCUCCUGUCCUGCCAUGGCUGGAACUCCAUUCCUAAGUUUUUUCUGGUGUCCCCUUGGCCAAGGGGGGCAUCCAUUCAGUUGGUGGGGGACUUAGGAUUUUAUUUUUAGUUUACAGUAGGUAACUUUCGGUGGAGAAGGACGUCAUAAAGAAAUGUGAGAAAUAUUUACUUCUGAAUAGUGGAAAAACUACAUUAAAGUUGGUGGGGCACAGCUUAGCUGGGUUUUAGCAGCACUUACAGACAAAUUUAUAUAUUUAAGUACAUUUAGUGGAAAACAAUACAUGUAAAAAUAAACAAGCCCCCAAGAGAAUGCCAAUGAAAAGGAGCAAAAUACCGCCACAUGUUACAACAUAGAUUAAUCCUCAAUAACAUUAAGUGCACAAAAUGCCACAUAUUGUGGCAAGCCCAUGCCCACACCUGCCUUGGGAGGCCCUCUUCCUUUGGAAGACGGUUUUACUCAUUCAUUGCGUAAAUCAAUUUUUGUGAAAUGUCCAGGAAAGGCAAAUCUAUAUAUAAAGUAGAUUAGUGGUUGCCUAAGGCUGGGGGCAGGAAAGGGGAUAAACUGUAAAUGGGUGUGAUAUUUCUUUUUUGGGUGAUUGAAAUAUUCUAAAAUUGGGUUUUGAUGAUGGUUGCAUAACUUUGUAACUGUACUAAAAAUCAUUGAAUAGUAUCCUUAAAGCAGGUGAAUUUUA
Molecule: long non-coding RNA, 1559 nt
Filed under: Homo sapiens (human)
Lineage: Eukaryota; Metazoa; Chordata; Mammalia; Primates; Hominidae
Description: HSALNT0291595
Source: RNAcentral